RNAcentral lists this ribosomal RNA (710 nucleotides) under Faecalibacterium prausnitzii. Its description in RNAcentral is "bacterial SSU rRNA". It matches the Rfam family "Bacterial small subunit ribosomal RNA", at positions 426 to 1162 of the family's 1533-position model. Lineage: Bacteria; Bacillati; Bacillota; Clostridia; Eubacteriales; Oscillospiraceae. The record is from RNAcentral.
UAAACUCCCUGUUGUGAGGAAGAUAAUGACGGUACUCAACAAGGAAGUGACGGCUAACUACGUGCCAGCAGCCGCGGUAAAACGUAGGUCACAAGCGUUGUCCGGAAUUACUGGGUGUAAAGGGAGCGCAGGCGGGAGAACAAGUUGGAAGUGAAAUCCAUGGGCUCAACCCAUGAACUGCUUUCAAAACUGUUUUUCUUGAGUAGUGCAGAGGUAGGCGGAAUUCCCGGUGUAGCGGUGGAAUGCGUAGAUAUCGGGAGGAACACCAGUGGCGAAGGCGGCCUACUGGGCACCAACUGACGCUGAGGCUCGAAAGUGUGGGUAGCAAACAGGAUUAGAUACCCUGGUAGUCCACACCGUAAACGAUGAUUACUAGGUGUUGGAGGAUUGACCCCUUCAGUGCCGCAGUUAACACAAUAAGUAAUCCACCUGGGGAGUACGACCGCAAGGUUGAAACUCAAAGGAAUUGACGGGGGCCCGCACAAGCAGUGGAGUAUGUGGUUUAAUUCGACGCAACGCGAAGAACCUUACCAAGUCUUGACAUCCCUUGACGAWCAUAGAAAUAUGWUUUCUCUUCGGAGCAAGGAGACAGGUGGUGCAUGGUUGUCGUCAGCUCGUGUCGUGAGAUGUUGGGUUAAGUCCCGCAACGAGCGCAACCCUUAUGGUCAGUUACUACGCAAGAGGACUCUGGCCAGACUGCGUUUGAACAA